UGUACUUUGGCUGUGACGCAGAUUUUAAAAAGUUGAUGCUGAUGAGGAGUCGUGUCAUGCCUGCGUGUUUCUUAUGUCGUGCACUUUGUAGUGCUUUUCAAAGCUGUGAAGGAGGAGUGGUGUCGUGCCGGAUCAGUACAGAUUUCCUUUAAAAUCACUGUGUGUUUCUGUUUUCGCGCACUUUUAAGUGCUUGCCAGUGCUGAAGGAAGGAUGGUGUCGUGCCUAAUCAAUCUAGCUGUACUAUAAAAUAACUGGUUGUUUAUGAUGUCGUCAUGCACUUUGUGUUGCUUUUCAAAGCCGAUGCGAAGGAGUGCUGUCGUGCCUGAACAA
Labeo rohita (rohu) is the source of this 331-nucleotide long non-coding RNA. RefSeq lists it as uncharacterized. The record is from RefSeq and is a predicted model, not a curated record. The transcript is spliced from 4 exons. Lineage: Eukaryota; Metazoa; Chordata; Actinopteri; Cypriniformes; Cyprinidae.